CUACGGGGGGCUCCAGUGAGGAAUAUUGCACAAUGGGGGAAACCCUGAUGCAGCAACGCCGCGUGGAGGAUGACGCAUUUCGGUGUGUAAACUCCUUUUAUAUGUCAAGAAAAUGACGGUAGCAUAUGAAUAAGCACCGGCUAACUCCGUGCCAGCAGCCGCGGUAAUACGGAGGGUGCAAGCGUUACUCGGAAUCACUGGGCGUAAAGGACGCGUAGGCUGGUUGGUAAGUCAGGUGUGAAAUCCUACAGCUUAACUGUAGAACUGCACUUGAAACUACAACCUAGAGUAUGGGAGGGGGAGAUGGAAUUAGUGGUGUAGGGGUAAAAUCCGUAGAUAUCACUAGGAAUACCGAAAGCGAAGGCGAUCUCCUGGAACAUAACUGACGCUAAGGCGUGAAAGCGUGGGGAGCAAACAGGAUUAGAUACCCUUGUAGUC
This 438-nucleotide ribosomal RNA is filed under the name uncultured bacterium. RNAcentral's name for it is "partial 16S ribosomal RNA". It matches the Rfam family "Bacterial small subunit ribosomal RNA", at positions 339 to 795 of the family's 1533-position model. The record is from RNAcentral.